UUGCUUUAUGGACCAAGAAGAAAAAGGUAUAGGCAUAGAGCAAAACAACACUGUAAGUUUGGAGGAGGCAUGAAUGUGGUCUUCAGUAAUUCCAGCGCCUGACCCAUGCACAGAGCACACUGACUUGGGCUGUUAAGUAGCCAGGUCAGAGGGAGUCGAGCCGUUGGAGGUAGGGUUCGUGUUGCUACACUCCUCUGCAAGCAGGCUCAAUAAUAACAGCUCUUGCAUCAGAGGAAGGCUACCCACACAUUUUAGCACUUCCACAGUUCUAACUUAAUCGUGGCAGGAAGCUUUUCCGCUGCUGGGAGAACGAGUUGCGUCACUGGAGACAUCUGACUCCGGGAUCUAGUGUCAAUCACUUUGCCUAAGGUCUCGACAAAUGCUAGGGUGUCUCCUUACAGCAGAAGGGCUUUGCCCAACUGACAAUUAAGAGGAAACACACAGCUCCAUAAAUAAUCGAGAAGGCGGAUUAAAGAAAUACCUUUUCCAGAGCAGAAUGAGAGGAAUGCCUGACACUUCUCAGCCAGGCUUUUUGUCUCCGCUUCACCAUCCACGGGGCUGCGCCCAGUCAAUGGCUCUUUACACUUAGUUUGCCUUCCCCGGUUCUUUAAAGGUCUCUGUAGACACACAAAAAGUUUCUCACCCACAGAAUGAGAGAAGAUUUGGGAAAAGAUGACCUUCCCAAGAGCAGCGUCCAAGGGACACUCGUCAGGGCUUGUCAUUGCACAGAGUAACUCCCCGCCAAGCAGAAUUGUAUUUAAUACUUGGUUUGCUCAUGACAAGCUGUGGAUAGAAUGGCAAGGCCACCUGCCCAGCGGACUUGAGGAAAACUCUCAGACAGCCUGAAGGCCCACAGGUAAAACAUCUGUGACAAACAAUUCUUGUCUCACCUUUUCACCCAGGGUCUGAAACGGGGAUUUCGAGCGUGUCUUCCUCCAGGAGAACAAUUGUAACAAACUGGAAGGUCUCCAGAAUGAGGACAAACUGGUUUACUAUGUCAGUCAUGGGAGCCCAAGAGGUUAUCGAUGCUGCUCCAGGGAAAUGUUUACCAGGAGAAAGCUCUUGGUUCCUUCAGUCAGUAAUUUCUCCCAAACAGAUGCAUUUCCAAUGGGGGGGGGGCAGUGUCAGUAUGGGGUAGGGGAGGAAUGCAGAAGCGGAAAGGUAAAGAAUGGCCAAACACAAAUUUUAAUAGACAAGCCGCCACCCUGGCUUCUAUUUGGAGCACGGUGGUGAUAUUUGAAGCACCCAGUGAAAAUAAAACCCUUGAACUUGGAACCACUGCUACAACAGCAUAUUUUUAAAUGGUUACGAAGGGAGUCUGAGCAUUCAGUAGGGCAGUGGCCAAGAUUCUCGGGCCGCUCCACGGAUGGCACUUGAGAGCCACCCAGCAGGUAGACAACACCUGCUCAGUGAGCUGGGUCAAGAAAAAUCAAGAGGAGAAGCGGAUUAUAACGAAGAUGGGCACAGGUGCCUCUUGGGGGAUUAUCACAGUCUCAAAAACAAACAUGAACUUCACUAGAAGGCAGACUUUCAGAAAAAAACAAAAACACAUGGUUUUCUUCUCUUAAAGAAUUAAGUCAUUAAGGAAACUUCCCAAACAGAAACUGGAACCAGGAGAAUGCAGAGGCGGCAUCAUGAAGCCCGUGAGAUCUAUCCCUGAUUGUGCAGUAGAGCUCAGGGCCAUUGCCGGUGUAACUUCACCCUACCAGCAACUCACUCGCCACUAGAAAAUGUCACUGGAAAUCCCAGCACUCAAGAAGAAAGCGAGGUUGGGUGUCGCUGGCCUGUAGCCCAGAGCUUGAAUCAUAGAAAUGGAUGGAUCUCUGAAGAUUUUCAGCCAGCCAGUCUAGCUGAAUCAAUGUGCUUCAGGUUCAGCGAGGGACUCAGAGAAAGGUGAGGAGUAUCGUCGAGGAAACACACCUGUAGUCAAUCUCUGGUCAACACAUGUAAGCACAUACCCACACUCACAGGUACCUAUCACACACAUACACAUAUGCACGUGUGUGUGAGGAAACAAAUACGAGUGUCAAAAAUUCCCCCAGUAGAAUGUUAUAAAGCUUUUGGGAACGGGAGUUGUGGAAGAAAUUCUGAAAGGCUUCCUGACAAAGGUAUUGGACAGGGUUGUUGAAGCUGAGUCAGCUCUUUAAUGGGUGCAGCUUAAGUAAAAGGGAAGAGAAUUUCUUUGGGAGAAUGAUGUUGGGAAGAUGUUCACAUACACAUACAUACAUACACACACACACAACACAUAUUGAUAGGAGAAGGAUGUGGAUUAAAGUGAAAGUUGAUUGCAUCAAGGGUGUGUUUAAACGCACAAAGUCUAGAACAAGGGUACCAGAAUUCUGACCCUGACCUGAGUGUCCUUGGCAAGUAGCUGAGACCUUAAACUUCAGGGUCUUUGUCUGCAAAAAUGUAGGAUAUGAGCAGUGCCCAUCUGGCUAGUCCACAAGUUACCAGUGCUGUAUGAUGAAGUCUCUUUAGACUGAGCCGGAAAGGUAAGGAGAUUCCAUACCACAAUGACCUGUGUUGGGGGAGGCCAGGGUGCAGUCAUUUUAUCCACCUUCCCUGAGAUGAGCUGACUCCAGGCAGAAGCCCAGAACCUCUCAUGAUAAGCAAGAGAUUCUUCUGGAAGACUCCUAGCGCUGGCAGAACUCCAGAGUUGUGCGUCAACACCAGUCAUGUUGUUAGCCCGGGGAACACAGCUGGGAGCAGCUUUAACUGUUGAUUUUCACCAAGAGCCACCUGCAAGCAAACAGCUGGGGUGGUAGCCCAUAUUCCAUGAAAUUACAACCUGACUGUUCUUUCUGUGUUUAGUCUGUGUGCUCUAUGAGGCAGCGAGCCCUGUCUUCCACAUCUCAGUUCCAGGGCAUGUGUAGUCUGUGCCCUGUGAUGCCAGCUGCCAGCACUAAGGUGGAUUGGCACCUUUGGUUACCUUCCCUUUUCAGGAUAACAUUGUUUCUUUAGAGAAGGGGUGGAGUGAGAGCUGAUACCAAUUUAACGUCUCGCUUCCUGAAAGGCCUGGCAGUAUCUCUCCCGCCUGUGUGACUAGUAAGAAGACAUUCACGAAGGGUUACGUGAUCACAGAAAGAGCCUUGGUUCAACAGAUGAGCCUUUGAGAACCCUCCCAGAGCCCAAAUCCUGAAAGAAUGCUGGCACCUGCUCUCCGAAUGAUUGUCAUACUCAGAGAUUGUUAUGGAUGGUGUCAGGAUUUCCCACACACAAAGCCUGAUAUGCUGGGGUUCUGAAAUGGAGCCAGAAUUAUUCAGAGGAAAAAAAUACAAGGAAGAACAGGGGCUGAAGAGAGGGCUCCACUGCACAGCCUUUCCCACAGAGACGUAACUUGCAUGGAAAUGAGAAGUGGUUACUUCAGGGUAGAGAAGAGGGACCUGGGGAAAUGCUGUAAAAGCCUGAGGACCUGCGUUUCCACCUAGCACAACACAAAGGGGUUACGGGUUAAAAUGACGGACCCCCACUUUCCAGCUAGAGCUCACUGCAUCAGCAGUGGAACACCCACUGUGCUCGGCUGCAAUCUCACCAUCCUGAAUCCUCAGUGAGACUCCAGAAUUACCAGGCCUGCCGCGGUUGCGCAAAAGGCGCUGCUAAGCGUCAAUCCUUCUGUCACCAACAGGAAAAUCCACUUCCAAGUCCAGCUUUGGAAAAUCUGGGCCUGAUCCCAGACUAACUUCCUCUGUGAUAAUUGCUAACAUAACAGCACAACACAGUGACCUUGUAAACGGAGCCCUGAUUUCAGAAAUCCACCUCAGACCCGGAUGCCUCUCCUCUCUAAGCGGGGCUCUUAUUUAUGCAAAUGGCAAAGGCUACGUUUCUGGCCUAAGGCAGACUUUCGUGGCUUUCCUCACUAGAUGAAGUGAGUGAUUUGAACUAUAAACACAUUCAUAAUCUAGCCCAGAAUUCCUCAUGCCCCGGUCUACAUUGCACCUGGAAACCAUUGAAGUGAAAUUGUUCUGAUAAAGCCACUGAGGAGAGACGGGAGUCGGUAAUUAGAGAACUUGGGAUUGGUCGAAUCAAGGUAAGGUGAAAUGAGUCGAAGGGACCCUCAGCUGUCUACUUCAGAAUCAAGGAUUCUCAGUGACUGUGAAGAGGGGAGGGCUGCACAGUUGCAGGGGCUCCUGAGGACAGCCCUUCAGCUCUAUGCCAAUCUCUAUCCAAACAUUAACUAUGGGGAACUGUUCAUCCCUUGUCUCUUCUUCCCUUUAGAUCACAGAUCCCUUGACAUGAGAGUGAGCGUAUUUCCUCACUGGCUAAGAGUUGUUGGUCGGGACAAGUUGCCCAAUAUAUGUAUACCUAAAGGCUUAAUAACUCUUAGGGGACAGAAAUUUUAAGCAUGGAAUUAGGGAUACUUGUGAAAGCCACAGGAAGUUUUUAAACUAGUAUAAUCUGACUGUAAGUUGCUGGCUUCAGUGUCACCUUGUAACAGUCAUAUGUUUUAUUAACAGAUCACUCAGUCGCAUCAGAAACAGAAGAUUUCUGGGCCAGACAUGGUUGAUUCAGCAUUUGGUAGGCCACAGCAAGAGAAUUGCAAGUUUGAGAACCCCUUAGGUUACAUGGUGAGUUCCAGGCCAUAGUGUGCUAUAUGGUAAGAUACAGACUCAAAAGGAAAAGAGAAAAAAAACAACUCAUCGCUAGCUUAACCUACAAAGGGUUCUAAAAAUGUGUAUUUGCAGUCUAAGAAAUAUUCAUCCUGUUCCAAACCCUUCCACUGCCUUGUGAUACAGGGGUCCAGGCCAGAAUGACUCUGUAACCGGGGAUGCUGUUUGACCGCAGCUUUAGGACUAUCCACUGGAGCCUGGUGAACUAGCUAGUUGAUACACAACUGAAGACAAUAGCUGACCACCGCCUAGAAUCCACCAAUAGCCAUUAGUUCAGCUGGGAGGAAGAGGAGAGUAUUCAUGAAGCAUCUUUAGGUGAAAAAUAAAACUGAAGGCCACUAAUAGAUGGACUAUGAUCACAUCUUGAUGGAAAGCAGUACCACUACCCAUAGUGCACACAAUACCAUGGGAUGAGUGCCUCCCACUGAGAGACCAGAGAAGUAACAGUUAUUUAGAAGGGUAUUAAUUAGGCUUUAGAUCCUUGUAUGGUUUUGUAGCAUGAAUAAUAAAAACCCAGAGAGAGAAAUUGGGGUUCAACCUGAAAACCAGAAAAACAAGGGAACCAAGCCACUAGAGAAGUCUCACCUCUACCAAGGCCAGGCGACUGCACACUAAGCCUCUCUCUCCUCCUACUAUACUACCUUCUAAUGCUGGGAUUAAGGGAGUGUGACUCCCUAGGACUGGAAUUCAAGGUGUGAGCCAUCACCACCUGAAUUUCUUUCUGCAUUGAUCGUGUAUAGCCCAGGGUGGCCUUGAACUCACAGAUCCACCUGACUCCGUCUCCCUCUCCCAAAUCCUGGAUUAUGUGUCACCAUUGUCUGACCUCUAGUGGUUUUACCUUUGCCUCUGGUCUUCAGGCAAGAUUUAUCAAAAUCCAAAUAAUAUACCGUGACAUGGUUUAGUUGUUACAACAGGUACAUUAAAAAAAAUUGUCAUUGUAUUAUUAUGAGAAAGAAAGAGA
This is a long non-coding RNA of Alexandromys fortis (reed vole), 5568 nucleotides long. RefSeq lists it as uncharacterized. Lineage: Eukaryota; Metazoa; Chordata; Mammalia; Rodentia; Cricetidae. The record is from RefSeq and is a predicted model, not a curated record. The transcript is spliced from 4 exons.